UAAGACGUAGGAGGCGAGCGUUGUCCGGAGUUACUGGGCGUAAAGGGCGCGCAGGCGGCCGCGCGCGCCGGGCGUGAAAGCCCCCGGCUCAACCGGGGCGGGUCGCCCGGGACGGCGCGGCUGGAGGGCGGCAGAGGCCGGUGGAAUUCCCGGUGUAGUGGUGAAAUGCGUAGAGAUCGGGAGGAACACCCGUGGCGAAGGCGGCCGGCUGGGCCGACCCUGACGCUGAGGCGCGAAGGCGCGGGGAGCGAACGGG
This 256-nucleotide ribosomal RNA is filed under the name uncultured archaeon. RNAcentral describes it as "partial 16S ribosomal RNA". It matches the Rfam family "Bacterial small subunit ribosomal RNA", at positions 521 to 776 of the family's 1533-position model. The record is from RNAcentral.